RNAcentral lists this ribosomal RNA (305 nucleotides) under uncultured bacterium. RNAcentral describes it as "bacterial SSU rRNA". It matches the Rfam family "Bacterial small subunit ribosomal RNA", at positions 337 to 653 of the family's 1533-position model. The record is from RNAcentral.
GCCUACGGGGCGCAGCAGUCGAGAAUCAUUCACAAUGGGGGAAACCCUGAUGGUGCGACGCCGCGUGGGGGAAUGAAGGUCUUCGGAUUGUAAACCCCUGUCAUGUGGGAGCAAAUUAAAAAGAUAGCACCACAAGAGGAAGAGACGGCUAACUCUGUGCCAGCAGCCGCGGUAAUACAGAGGUCUCAAGCGUUGUUCGGAAUCACUGGGCGUAAAGCGUGCGUAGGCUGUUUCGUAAGUCGUGUGUGAAAGGCGCGGGCUCAACCCGCGGACGGCACAUGAUACUACGAGACUAGAGUAAUGGG